AGCCGUAAACGAUGGAUACU
This 20-nucleotide microRNA is filed under the name Hevea brasiliensis (rubber tree). RNAcentral's name for it is "hbr-miR6173". The record is from miRBase by way of RNAcentral. Lineage: Eukaryota; Viridiplantae; Streptophyta; Magnoliopsida; Malpighiales; Euphorbiaceae.